RNAcentral lists this ribosomal RNA (371 nucleotides) under uncultured Streptococcus sp. RNAcentral's name for it is "bacterial SSU rRNA". It matches the Rfam family "Bacterial small subunit ribosomal RNA", at positions 1012 to 1382 of the family's 1533-position model. Lineage: Bacteria; Bacillati; Bacillota; Bacilli; Lactobacillales; Streptococcaceae. The record is from RNAcentral.
UUCCCCCUUCGGGGGGACAGGGUGACAGGUGGUGCAUGGUUGUCGUCAGCUCGUGUCGUGAGAUGUUGGGUUAAGUCCCGCAACGAGCGCAACCCUCGACCUUAGUUGCCAGCAUUCAGUUGGGCACUCUAAGGUGACUGCCGGCUAAAAGUCGGAGGAAGGUGGGGAUGACGUCAAAUCAUCAUGCCCCUUAUGACCUGGGCUACACACGUGCUACAAUGGUUGGUACAACGAGUUGCGAGUCGGUGACGGCGAGCUAAUCUCUUAAAGCCAAUCUCAGUUCGGAUUGUAGGCUGCAACUCGCCUACAUGAAGUCGGAAUCGCUAGUAAUCGCGGAUCAGCACGCCGCGGUGAAUACGUUCCCGGGCCUU